UACGGAGGGUGCGAGCGUUAAUUGGAAUUACUGGGCGUAAAGCGCACGCAGGCGGUUUGUUAAGCUAGAUGUGAAAGCCCCGGGCUCAACCUGGGAUGGUCAUUUAGAACUGGCAGACUAGAGUCUUGGAGAGGGGAGUGGAAUUCCAGGUGUAGCGGUGAAAUGCGUAGAUAUCUGGAGGAACAUCAGUGGCGAAGGCGACUCCCUGGCCAAAGACUGACGCUCAUGUGCGAAAGUGUGGGUAGCGAACAGG
Molecule: ribosomal RNA, 253 nt
Filed under: uncultured bacterium
Lineage: Bacteria
Description: partial 16S ribosomal RNA
Rfam family: Bacterial small subunit ribosomal RNA
Source: RNAcentral